Molecule: ribosomal RNA, 300 nt
Filed under: uncultured Pyrodictium sp.
Lineage: Archaea; Thermoproteati; Thermoproteota; Thermoprotei; Desulfurococcales; Pyrodictiaceae
Description: partial 16S ribosomal RNA
Rfam family: Bacterial small subunit ribosomal RNA
Source: RNAcentral
GCAUAGUGGGGUCGAGCUGCGGGGGUAAUGCGGAGGGCUCGGGUGGUGUUCGGAUUCACUGGGCGGAGAGGGGGGGGAGAUGGGCGGGGAAGGUUGAUGGGAAAGCUCGGAGCGUAACUACUAAAUGGCAUUGGAAACUGCCUGGGUCGAGGUUUGGAGGGGGGACUGGAAUACUUGGUGUAGCAGUGAAAUGCGUAGAUAUCAAGUGGAACACCAGUGGCGAAGGCGAGUCCCUGGACAACACCUGACACUGAGGCACGAAAGCUAGGGGAGCAAACGGGAUUAGAUACCCGUGUAGUC